This 125-nucleotide small RNA is filed under the name Marmota monax (woodchuck). Lineage: Eukaryota; Metazoa; Chordata; Mammalia; Rodentia; Sciuridae. The record is from RNAcentral.
GCUGGGUGUGGUGGUGCACUCCUGUAAUCCUAGCAGCAUGGGAGGCUGAGACAGGAGGAUUUCAGGUUCAAAGCCAACCUCAGCAACAGCAAGGUGCUAAGCAAUUCAGUGAGACCUGGUCUCUA